Molecule: small nuclear RNA, 187 nt
Organism: Neogale vison (American mink)
Lineage: Eukaryota; Metazoa; Chordata; Mammalia; Carnivora; Mustelidae
Product: U2 spliceosomal RNA
Exons: 1
Source: RefSeq, a predicted model, not a curated record
AUCACUUCUCAGCCUUUUGGCUAAGAUCAAGUGUAUUUCCUCCUUCCUAAUCCUUCUGCACUUAAUUGAUUAUUCUUCUGUCCUCACUGCACUAUUGUGGAAACCCAAUACAAUGUCUAGCAGAGCUAGGAAUAAUGGGAAGACUUCUCAUGUUUCUUCAUUUAGGCAUGUGCUGUAGUAUUUUUAU